UCGGCCCCGGUUCACGCCCCGCAAACCCGCGGAGCGACCCGGCGCC
Non-coding RNA from Streptomyces hokutonensis, 46 nucleotides. NCBI's taxonomy places the organism in Bacteria, Bacillati, Actinomycetota, Actinomycetes, Kitasatosporales, Streptomycetaceae. The record is from Rfam.